UACGGAGGGUGCGAGCGUUGUUCGGAAUCACUGGGCGUAAAGCGCGUGUAGGCGGCCUUGUAAGUUUGGUGUGAAAGCCCGGGGCUUACCCCCGGAAGUGCACUGGAGACUGCAAGGCUGGAGUACCGGAGAGGAAAGUGGAAUUCCUGGUAUAGCGGUGAAAUGCGUAGAUAUCUGGAGGAACACCAAUAGCGAAGGCAGCUCGCUGGGACGGUACUGACGCUGAGGCGCGAAAGCGUGGGGAGCGAACAGG
Molecule: ribosomal RNA, 253 nt
Filed under: uncultured bacterium
Lineage: Bacteria
Description: partial 16S ribosomal RNA
Rfam family: Bacterial small subunit ribosomal RNA
Source: RNAcentral